This is a long non-coding RNA of Setaria italica (foxtail millet), 794 nucleotides long. RefSeq lists it as uncharacterized. The record is from RefSeq and is a predicted model, not a curated record. The transcript is spliced from 2 exons. Lineage: Eukaryota; Viridiplantae; Streptophyta; Magnoliopsida; Poales; Poaceae.
AUUGACAGUUAUUCAAAGUUUGAUCAAGCACAUCCGAAAGCAUAAUUUGUGCUGUUUGCUUUCAGUCCCGAUCCAGCCAUCCUGGCCAAGCUGGCCAUCACCAUGCAAAGAGUCUAGCUCUAGAUGGUGGACUACUGGUCUAAUAUUCGUACAGACUUUUGGACUGUGUCUGUCCAAACGCCAUUGAUGCAUUGGUCGGUUCUUCCACCAGCCUAAUAACUGGAGGCUUGCUUCAGUUCUGGACCACUUUCACUUGACUGCCUAUACCCCUUGAGCAGCUUCUGACCAGAUCAUGCAGGGGAGGUGAACACAGGAAAAAUACAAAGGGUGCUAGCACGGUGCUAUUUCCGGGUCCACUCUCUGAUGGCUGAUUUGGACACUGACAUGGAUUUGUCCAGAAAAAAGGGGUAGCGAAGGACUCAGGAGUGCUGAAGAACAGGAGAAGCCGAGGAUUGUGGUCAAUUGUUGCAGACUCCAAUCGUGUAGUCAGGUACUGUGGAUUCGGCAUAGCUACUGCAAGAGACUGCAAUACUCUUCCUACUGCUGUCAGCACCUGCCUCGCUUGCCAAAUGCCAAUGCCUGGCUAUGUACUGUAUAUGAACAGCCUUAGAGACUGGUGUCCUUGUUCAACAGCAACCAUCUUUUCAUACCAUACUGGGGGCCGGGGAUCGGAAGAGGCGCCUACAUGCCUCUUGGGCCUUGUUUAGUUGGGGAAUUUGGGAGGUGUCAAAUUACUGUUACAGCACUGUAGCACACUGUAGCGUUUCGUUUGUAUUUGUGAAUUAUUGUCCAAA